This is a non-coding RNA of Oncorhynchus mykiss (rainbow trout), 74 nucleotides long. The record is from the annotation of a RefSeq genome assembly. NCBI's taxonomy places the organism in Eukaryota, Metazoa, Chordata, Actinopteri, Salmoniformes, Salmonidae.
GAUGAGGUGGCCGAGUGGUUAAGGCGAUGGACUGCUAAUCCAUUGUGCUAUGGGUUCGAAUCCCAUCCUCAUCG